Molecule: long non-coding RNA, 1107 nt
Organism: Haliotis rubra (blacklip abalone)
Lineage: Eukaryota; Metazoa; Mollusca; Gastropoda; Lepetellida; Haliotidae
Exons: 3
Source: RefSeq, a predicted model, not a curated record
AUGACAGCACGUGCAAACGCGCGAAAGUCUUGGUCACGUGGAGGAUACCAGACGACAGAGGUGUCUGAUUUGAAAAUGUCGGAUUUUUCGCUUAUGUUCGGAGAGCAAAGUUUCGACAACAGCAAACCAUCUGCCGAUGAAAUGAGGUGGGCAGAUCAAAGAGCAACUGCAUGAACAAGCACCUGUUCUUGGCAUCAAGGAUGAAGUCAUCUUGUACCAUCAUGAAGCUGCCGGAAGCUGAUCAUGACAUGUGAAUUGAAGAAAUCCUUCACUUGUGGACUUGACUAUUGUAUGUGCUGCUCCUGAGUUCUUGAUACAGUGUCAUAUUCAAACAAGGAUUAGAGAAAGUGCAUGUGAUUCAGUGAUCAAUUUGCUGUUCCUCAUAUCACAGUGGAAGAUGUACAGUAAAGGUGGCCCUGAUAGUUUGCUUGCCGAUCGUAAUGUGUCUGUCCCCGCAAACUUCUGAUCCAAGAGAGACUUGUGAAAACUGGUCAACCCGUUAUGUAGUAUCUAGAGUUAACUCUUCUGCAUCCAGAAAAAAAUCGUCGCCGCCUCUUCAGGAAGAAGCAUGCACUGAUGAAAGACCAAAGUUAAAUGAUUCAAGUGCCACUCAAACUUUCUUAUAACUUUUUGACGCAAUAUCUUGUGCAAGAUCGCCAGAUAUGUUGAUGCUUUGUUUGUUGAGAGAUGUCUGUGACCAGUUGAUCUUGAUCUUUGAUGUUCCCUAAUCAUUCACUGUUGAGAGGAUCAGGCAGCAUGGUACAAUCACUCGCUCUCUGUACUGUGUUCUGAAAUGAUUUGUCCACCAUAAGUGAUGAGUUUCGGUACUCAUGAAAUACAUCAGUAGACAUUGAUAUUUACAUUGAAGGAUAGCCUUCAUUUAGUUGAGGUGUGUGCAUGGUUCAGGGGGGAUAUUUGUAGUAAUAUAGUCAUAACUCUAAACAAGUGUUUAGCAUAAAAAAACAUGACAGUUCCUUGUCAGCACCUGAUUGUCAAAAUGACAUCCCCCCUCAGUUUGAGCACAAGAUAAGUAUGGCAGUUUGAUCACAUCAAAAUGCAUUAAUAUGAUCCAGCUGGACUUGGUUUCUUUAAGUGGCAUGCAUCUUU